RNAcentral lists this ribosomal RNA (503 nucleotides) under uncultured bacterium. RNAcentral describes it as "partial 16S ribosomal RNA". It matches the Rfam family "Bacterial small subunit ribosomal RNA", at positions 30 to 523 of the family's 1533-position model. The record is from RNAcentral.
AUUGAACGCUGGCGGCAGGCUUAACACAUGCAAGUCGAGCGGAGUGAUGGUGCUUGCACUAUCACUUAGCGGCGGACGGGUGAGUAAUGCUUAGGAAUCUGCCUAUUAGUGGGGGACAACAUCUCGAAAGGGAUGCUAAUACCGCAUACGUCCUACGGGAGAAAGCAGGGGAUCACUUGUGACCUUGCGCUAAUAGAUGAGCCUAAGUCGGAUUAGCUAGUUGGGGGGGUAAAGGCCUACCAAGGCGACGAUCUGUAGCGGGUCUGAGAGGAUGAUCCGCCACACUGGGGCUGAGACACGGCCCAGACUCCUACGGGAGGCAGCAGUGGGGAAUAUUGGACAAUGGGGGGAACCCUGAUCCAGCCAUGCCGCGUGUGUGAAGAAGGCCUUAUGGUUGUAAAGCACUUUAAGCGAGGAGGAGGCUCUUUUGGUUAAUACCCAAGAUGAGUGGACGUUACUCGCAGAAUAAGCACCGGCUAACUCUGUGCCAGCCGCCGCCGUAA